GAUGAAGAACGUAGUAAAAUGCGAUACUUGGUGUGAAUUGCAGAAUCCCAUGAACCAUCGAGUUUUUGAACGCAAGUUGCGCCCGAAGCCUUUUGGCCGAGGGCACGUCUGCCUGGGCGUCACGCAUCGCGUCGCCCCCCACAAUUCUCCGUAAAAGGAACAUGUGUUUUGGGGGCGGAUAUUGGUCUCCCGUGCUCAUGGCGUGGUUGGCCGAAAUAGGAGUCCUUUCGAUGGACGCACGAACUAGUGGUGGUCGUAAAAACCCUCGUCUUUUGUUUCGUGCUGUUGCUCGCAAGGUAAACUCUUUAAAAACCCCAAUGUGUCGUCUCUUGACGACGCUUCGACCGCGACCCCAGGUCAGGCGGGACUACCCGCUGAGUUUAAGCAUAUCAAUGCGGAGGA
This 402-nucleotide unclassified non-coding RNA is filed under the name soil metagenome. RNAcentral describes it as "partial contains 5.8S ribosomal RNA, internal transcribed spacer 2, and large subunit ribosomal RNA". The stretch from base 1 to 122 matches the Rfam family "5.8S ribosomal RNA", at positions 35 to 154 of the family's 154-position model. The record is from RNAcentral.